RNAcentral lists this ribosomal RNA (119 nucleotides) under Cucumis melo (muskmelon). Lineage: Eukaryota; Viridiplantae; Streptophyta; Magnoliopsida; Cucurbitales; Cucurbitaceae. The record is from RNAcentral.
GGGUGCAAUCAUACCAGCUCUAAUGCACCGAAUUCGAUCAAAACUCCGCAGUUAAACAUGCUUGGGCGAAAGUAGUAGUAAGUUGGGUGACCUUUUGGGAAGUUCUUGUGUUGCACCCA